This 207-nucleotide long non-coding RNA is filed under the name Medicago truncatula (barrel medic). RNAcentral's name for it is "long non-coding RNA (MTRU_LNC008901)". The record is from RNAcentral. Lineage: Eukaryota; Viridiplantae; Streptophyta; Magnoliopsida; Fabales; Fabaceae.
AAUUGCGUGUUAAAAGUAUACUAUAUUCAUGCAGUAUCCACGGACAGUUGAGUUCAUCCUCAAUUACUGAAGUCAUACGGAUAAUCUUUCAAUACUUGGGACAUACUCUAUCUCUUUGUCUUUGCUUCGUAUCAUUCACUCCACUCCUUUUUGUUUUCUGAACAUAUAUUAUUUAGCUACCUUUUAUGAUUCUAUGACAUAUGUACA